AGUGCAAAGUGCAAAGGCCUUUAUUUACACACUGACACAUGCCAAGAUUGCCAUCAUGGCAUGUGUCACUGUUUCUCUCUCGCUGUUCUGUCUGUCUGUCUGUCUCUCAUCUGUCUGUCCUGUGUGUCUUUCUGUCUUGUUUGUCUGGUCUGUGUGUCUGGUGUCGGAUUUAGUCACUUUAUUUAGUCUCAACUUAAAUGGAUGAUUUUAAAGUUGAUUAGUCUUGAGGCGUCUGAUUUCUGCAGGAAAUUCUGUUACCUUAUUUUGAAAUGGCUUUAAUUUAAAAAUGUAAUUUUGGUCUUGAAUCUCAGUUAUCAUAGUUGCAAAAUGGACUGUUGAUAAACGUGGAAGCUGAUGAAUUAUGUAGUACAUGCAUCAAAGUUUACUGUAGCUUGUCUAAAGUUCUUUCAAAGUGCUGUAAAAAUGUAGUUCUGAUGAGCUAGACCAGGUCUUCCUUUAUUCUCAACUGGUAAUUGCUUUGAUAAGAUAACUGGUUCCUGAUUUGAUUAUGAAGCUAAACUUUUGAUUUAUAUGCAAGUGUAGUCACAUUAGAUUGUAGGUGUUAUUCAGCCCAUGGAUAAUGUUAUGAUAACUUUAAAUCUGGCAUUUGUUGGCAAACUUUUGAUAUCCAUUUAAGUCUUAAACUUUACGUACUGCCAUCAGCCUUUGUAGUCGCUAACUGAAAUCGAAUUCAAUAUUAAUGCUGACUUGUCUCACUCUGCCAAGUUUAUUUCCCUCUAAAGGAGUUGAACCUUUUUGUGUUCAUAGUCUUUUUGCGCGUUAUGUUGGGAGGCCUCCCAGCAGGGGAUUUUUAUCUUCCUCUGCAAAACUAUGCGUUACUCGCCUAAGGGAUGCAGGGCUAUCCUGCAUAGUUUCUUUCAAAAAUUAGAUUGUAGGUUGCAGGAUUAGAGCGCGUUUCUUUUCUUUAGGAGGACACAAACCUGGCAGAGAGACAACUCAGAUUAUUUAAGUGAAAGUUGCGCCAAAUGUUCAAACUUUUUACGUUUCGAUAAGACUUGAAAUAAAACCUUUAUUCUGUAGGCUGAAUUCAGACAGAAUUUGGCUUUAUGUUAAAGACUGUUGUGCAAGUAAUCUCUUGUAGCAGGAGUGAGCAGCUGCAGCUAUUUAAUUUAUUUUUCGUCAUUUGGUUUGUUUCUUGGAUUGACUUGGUGUCUGGAGCUUUGUGGUUAACAGUGAUCAUGUAAACGUGUAAACACAAGUGGUCUUUUGCUUCUUAUUUGCGAAGCUGGCAGCUGGUUGAAAUGAUAGCACUUUAUGGCUUGCCCAAAGUGGGAUUUUUGAUAGAGCAUGGGGUUAACCUUCAAAUUUCACAAUUUAGGCAGCUUGUAGAGUCAUUAGGAAGAUGCUUAAUCCCAAUGUCUUGGUUGGUUGCAUGAGAAACUGCUAUCUCUUAGAUGUGUUGGUGAAGUUCCUCCUCUGAUUUUUGUAGACUUGCCCUAAAGUUUCUCUCCGUUUUAACUCUUGUUGAGCUGUGCAUUAAAUGAUUCCUCCAACUUGUCUCCAUAUCAAUUUUUUUCUCCCUGCAGCCUUCCACCAGCCACUGCUGCUGUUGCAUCUGCUAAAGGUAGCCGUAUCCUGAUCCACUGCAUCUUCAUGUGUUGGGUAAGAAGUGUCUUUAGACUAUUAACAAUGUGAACACCUUUUAAAUGCUUGAUCUAAUUUACCCAAAUGGUUCAUUAGUUUAGGAGAAAAAAAAAAUCAUUGAGUUGACAUUUUUGGGGUCAGUAACCUGACCUCUAAAUGUUUGGGAAACCAUGCAAAAGAUCGCAAGCUCUCUGCAUGACCCAACAGCAUCGAUGUUUGAGUUAUUUAAUUGCUCAAUUUUUAAAUCAGUCAAGAUUUUAUGAGCUGGGUCCUCUUCACACAACAGAGAACAAGGUAAAUUGAGUCGACUCGUAACUUGGUAAGGCAUGUUGUCUUUCCCCUUCUUCUCUGUGUGUGAGGAAAUCUGACCACGGAUCCUGACUGAGUGGCAUACCAUGACUGUGCAGUUUCCAAAAUCAGACAAGGAUCCAUCUGAUUUUGUGACCCGGCCUGUCAUGAUAUGCAUUUAUCUUCCUCCGAAACAAAGGAUUGGAAUGGACAGGUUUGUAGUGUAAAUCACAUCACUUGUAGAUGGUGAAGCAUUUGUUUAAAUUGGGGUCAAGCAUUUUCAGGUGUCUGCUUUGUCAAUACUCUGGUGCCACGUCUUGCUAAACACACGAGAAGCUCUGAAUUGUGAAACUGCUGCCUCUUGCAGAUGUUUCAACAGCAAUGGCUGUUGAAAGGCUGCAGGGAGAGAAAAUGAGAUCUGAGGACAGGAAAGUGGAAUUGAUUUCAUGCUUAGCAAAAUGAGGGUUUCAGCAGAAGACCUUUUUGUGGCGAGGCUACAGAAUCAGAAGGAACUUUUGUCUGGGCAACUGGUAGAUUUACAGUUUUUCAUGCAGCCGACCAAAACAUUGGGGUUAGCAUCAUCCCAAAUGGCUGGCAAAGAUUGCUUGUAACUGUCAGUGUAGGACAGGAAAGGCAGGUAUAGGUUAGGGAGGGCAUCCAUCGGUGAGCUCUGACUGGAUGUGAGGACCUGUCACACUUGACCAGAGAUGAAGGCUGCGGCGCUCCAUGUUGGACACCACGACCUGGAGAAGUCCCGUCCUGGAUGGCUACGGUGAUGACCAAGCCCAAGAUGAACCGACCCUUCUACGACGAGGACUUAGCCCAAGAUGAACCGACCCUUCUACGACGAGGACUUCCCCAAGAUGAACCAACUCUUCUACGACGAGGACUUCGCCCAAGAUGAACCAACCUUUUCCACGGGAUGUCUUCAGAUGUUGGACCUUGCGAAACUGUACACAUGCAUCAAUGGCUGCUACGUCACUCUGCCGAACAGGACAUGGUCACCAAGAUUACAUUUUUUUUUUUUUUUUUUUUUAAAUGGACUUUAACCCCCCCCCGUCCCCACUGACCCACAAUCACACAUGACAAAACACUGUACAUGUGAUGUAUCACCGCACUAAAAUACAGACACUGCUACUUUCAGCCUGUUUCAGUCUGUAAAAAAUCGCAAGCCCUCUGCAUGACCCAACAGCAUCGAUGUUUGAGUUAUUUAAUUGCUCACUUUUUAAAUCAGUCAAGAUUUUAUGAGCUGGGUCUUCUUCACACAACAGAGAACAAGGUAAAUUGAGUCGACUCGUAACAUGGUAAGGCAUUUUGUCCUUCCCCUUCUUCUCUGUGUGUGAGGAAAUCUGGCCACAGAUCCUGACUGAUUGGCAUACUAUGGCUGUGCAGUUUCCAAAAUCAGACAAGGAUCCAUCUGAUUUUGUGACUCGGCUUGUCAUGAUAUGCAUUUAUCUUCCUCCGAAACAAAGGAUUGGAAUGGACAGGUUUAUAGUGUAAAUCACAUCACUUGUAGAUGGUGAUGGUGUACAGACACUGCUACUUUCAGCCUGUAAUGUUAGACAUUGAAAACUUGUAUUUAUUGCCUUCUUUAUAUAAAGUAAAACUUUUGUUCUUAA
Solea solea (common sole) is the source of this 3512-nucleotide long non-coding RNA. RefSeq lists it as uncharacterized. Lineage: Eukaryota; Metazoa; Chordata; Actinopteri; Pleuronectiformes; Soleidae. The transcript has 3 exons. The record is from RefSeq and is a predicted model, not a curated record.